RNAcentral lists this ribosomal RNA (253 nucleotides) under uncultured bacterium. RNAcentral's name for it is "partial 16S ribosomal RNA". It matches the Rfam family "Bacterial small subunit ribosomal RNA", at positions 524 to 776 of the family's 1533-position model. The record is from RNAcentral.
UACGUAGGGUGCGAGCGUUGUCCGGAAUUAUUGGGCGUAAAGGGCUCGUAGGCGGUUUGUCGCGUCGGGAGUGAAAACCCAGGGCUUAACCCUGGGCCUGCUUCCGAUACGGGCAGACUAGAGGUAUGCAGGGGAGAACGGAAUUCCUGGUGUAGCGGUGAAAUGCGCAGAUAUCAGGAGGAACACCGGUGGCGAAGGCGGGUCUCUGGGCAACAACUGACGCUGAGGAGCGAAAGCGUGGGGAGCGAACAGG